GAUGAAGAACGCAUCGAAAUGCGAUAAGUAAUGUGAAUUGCAGAAUUCAGUGAAUCAUCGAGUCUUUGAACGCACAUUGCGCCCCCUGGUAUUCCGGGGGGCAUGCCUGUCCGAGCGUCAUUGCUGCCCUCAAGCACGGCUUGUGUGUUGGGCCCCCGUCCCCGGUUUCCCCCGGGGACGGGCCCGAAAGGCAGCGGCGGCACCGCGUCCGGUCCUCGAGCGUAUGGGGCUUUGUCACCCGCUCUGUAGGCCCGGCCGGCGCCAGCCGACACCCAACUUUAUUUCUAAGGUUGACCUCGGAUCAGGUAGGGAUACCCGCUGAACUUAAGCAUAUCAAUAAGCGGAGGA
This 348-nucleotide unclassified non-coding RNA is filed under the name soil metagenome. Its description in RNAcentral is "partial contains 5.8S ribosomal RNA, internal transcribed spacer 2, and large subunit ribosomal RNA". The stretch from base 1 to 120 matches the Rfam family "5.8S ribosomal RNA", at positions 35 to 154 of the family's 154-position model. The record is from RNAcentral.